RNAcentral lists this ribosomal RNA (301 nucleotides) under uncultured bacterium. RNAcentral describes it as "partial 16S ribosomal RNA". It matches the Rfam family "Bacterial small subunit ribosomal RNA", at positions 509 to 807 of the family's 1533-position model. The record is from RNAcentral.
CAGCAGCCGCGGUAAUACGAAGGGUGCAAGCGUUACUCGGAAUUACUGGGCGUAAAGCGUGCGUAGGUGGUGGUUUAAGUCCGAUGUGAAAGCCCUGGGCUCAACCUGGGAAUUGCAGUGGAUACUGGGUCACUAGAGUGUGGUAGAGGAUAGUGGAAUUUCCGGUGUAGCAGUGAAAUGCGUAGAGAUCGGAAGGAACAUCUGUGGCGAAGGCGACUAUCUGGGCCAACACUGACACUGAGGCACGAAAGCGUGGGGAGCAAACAGGAUUAGAGACCCCGGUAGUCCCUGUCUCUUAUAC